GGGGAUUUAGCUUAGUGGCAUAAGCACCUGCCUUGCAAGUGUGUGGUCGUGAGUUCAAUCCCCA
Molecule: transfer RNA, 64 nt
Filed under: Cavia porcellus (domestic guinea pig)
Lineage: Eukaryota; Metazoa; Chordata; Mammalia; Rodentia; Caviidae
Rfam family: tRNA
About the family: Transfer RNA (tRNA) molecules are approximately 80 nucleotides in length. Their secondary structure includes four short double-helical elements and three loops (D, anti-codon, and T loops). Further hydrogen bonds mediate the characteristic L-shaped molecular structure. tRNAs have two regions of fundamental functional importance: the anti-codon, which is responsible for specific mRNA codon recognition, and the 3' end, to which the tRNAs corresponding amino acid is attached (by aminoacyl-tRNA synthetases). tRNAs cope with the degeneracy of the genetic code in two manners: having more than one tRNA (with a specific anti-codon) for a particular amino acid; and 'wobble' base-pairing, i.e. permitting non-standard base-pairing at the 3rd anti-codon position.
Source: Rfam by way of RNAcentral